GUGCUGGCUUUGGCAGCACAUGUACUAAAAUUGGAACGAUGUAGAGAAGAUUAGCAUGACCUCUGCACAAGGAUGACACAAAUUUAUAAAGUGUUCCAUAUUUAA
This 105-nucleotide small nuclear RNA is filed under the name Cercocebus atys (sooty mangabey). Lineage: Eukaryota; Metazoa; Chordata; Mammalia; Primates; Cercopithecidae. The record is from RNAcentral.